Molecule: ribosomal RNA, 438 nt
Filed under: uncultured bacterium
Lineage: Bacteria
Description: partial 16S ribosomal RNA
Rfam family: Bacterial small subunit ribosomal RNA
Source: RNAcentral
CCUACGGGUGGCAGCAGUGGGGAUACUGCACAAUGGGGGGAACCCUGAUGCAGCGACGCCGCGUGGGUGAAGAAGCGCCUCGGCGCGUAAAGCCCUGUCAGCAGGGAAGAAAAUGACGGUACCUGAAGAAGAAGCCCCGGCUAACUACGUGCCAGCAGCCGCGGUAAUACGUAGGGGGCAAGCGUUAUCCGGAAUUAUUGGGCGUAAAGAGUACGUAGGUGGUUUUGUAAGCGCGGGGUGAAAGGCAGUGGCUUAACCAUUGUAAGCCUUGCGAACUGCAAGACUUGAGUGCAGGAGAGGAAAGCGGAAUUCCUAGUGUAGCGGUGAAAUGCUUAGAUAUUAGGAGGAACACCAGUGGCGAAGGCGGCUUUCUGGACUGUAACUGACACUGAGGUACGAAAGCGUGGGGAGCAAACAGGAUUAGAUACCCUAGUAGUC